Molecule: unclassified non-coding RNA, 493 nt
Filed under: Hevea brasiliensis (rubber tree)
Lineage: Eukaryota; Viridiplantae; Streptophyta; Magnoliopsida; Malpighiales; Euphorbiaceae
Source: RNAcentral
GCGGACCACUGUUGUAAUAUGGACAUUUGCGUGUAUUUUUAUUAUCUUUUCAUUUGUGGAAAGCGACUUGCUUGAUAUAAUUUGAACUUAUUUACAGAGGGAUGUCAUUGUUUGUUACUCAUCAGUGACAUCCAAGAGACAAUGAGAUACUAGUGAGGCACUGUGAUACUAAUUACACAUCCAGCAUCUAUAUCUUUAUAUCCCAUUUUAUUUCUCCUUUUGUUCCAUUUUAGGAUUCUAAUAUCAGUGGAUUAAGCAACGUAACCCACAUGAAGAUAAUGCUCAAAUAGAUGAGGGAGAUCCGCUACCAGGUUGGAUGGAGCAACAAGUUCUUGCAUCGCACUUGACCAGGUUGGUUGGUUGCCUGCAGUCCCUACCUGGACAACAGAGCAAUCUCAGGUUGAGGUUGUGCUGCAGAUUUCAUUAGAUUUCAUCAUCCGAAGACGCAAAUCCCAUUGCAAAGUAAUUUAGAAAGCCAUUAAAAUCCAAUUAA